UUAAAAAUCACACCUUUAAAUGCUGGUUCAGGUGUUGAGAUCAGGAGCAUUUCUAAGGGAUUUUAUCCCUCUCUCUUGUUCAGAUGUCUGUGUCAUCAGACAAUUCUAGGGAAUUGUCUUCUUCUUCUAGGAUUGAUAUCUAUAUAGGAUAUCUGAUAGGAACUUCUAGGGAAAGGCAGUAAAACAGAAGAGCAUGGUGCUCUUUUUACUAGAAGUCCACUUUUCCCUGCUUCCACUGAAAUGAUUGUCAGCUGCUGUUGACUUCAGGGGAAUGAGAAUGAAGUCCCAUGUGACAAAUAUUAAAAUUAUGGUAGUCCUAGACUUCUGAGUUUUAUAGGAAUGCAAUUAUCUUAAAUAUGAGCUGUUACUACCACCACAAAAAAAUAAAAAAACCCAACCAAAAAAAAAACCAACCAACCAAAGAAGGGGAGGGAUGCAAUUACCCAGAGAGCAAGUGGCAUGCUUUUCAUUGAUUAGACUGUCCUCUUUGAUUAAAUUCCUCAGUAUUUUUAAUUUUAUAGCCCUAAUUGCUGCCUUACAUUUUGCUUGGGUCCCUUUGUUCUAAUUCAUCUGCUUUCAGGUCCAGAUUUAUUUUUUUCAAUUCAUUCAGAUUCUCCACAAACUUCUCCUGUCACUAUGUGUUUUGUCUCUCUCUACAGAUGAUUAUUUGACAGAAAGUUUCCAUUGACUCCAGAGAAUGAGUCCUGUAAAUACCAUUUGCGGUUCUCAGAUGGAGUAGUUGCAAAAUGGAAUUGAUUAAAAGGUCAAAAAACAUUACUGUUGCAAUGUCUGAAUUGCUCCAUCAAAGUGUUAGUGGGACAAAUGUGUGCAAAUAUUUGCAUGAGACUAAUCUGGAUUUAAAAAAAAAAAAUCUUUGAUAUCAGCUUUCUGAUGUUUCCCAACAAGAGAAUUAUAGCCAAAAACUAUUUUCAAAUUAUAGCUAAAAACUAGUGUUUCCUCUUACACUAUUGUCAGUUAGUUGUAAAUCUGGAGGUAAUGAAGUUCCCUUAGACAGAGUAAGAUUCAGAAUCAGUAUGUAAACUAUUUUUAAAAUUCUGGAAAUUCUAAAUUGUUCAAAGUAGCAAUUUUGAAAACAAUAGUUUGAUUAGUAUAUUUAGCUAAGAAUUCUUGCAGAAAUUGGAAGUAACCAGAGCAUACCUGGAUCUUUCUACAGGAGAAUCACUGAUGGGGAGCCAGUGAGCAUCAGUAACCCCAGACUUGUUUCUCAUACUGUGCAUGGCACAGGACAAGAGGUGGUUGUGUGACCUCUCUUGCUCAGCAAGCCACAGAAGGCCAGCAAAGUCUAAAAUGUGAUGAUACUGAUUAAUAUGGGUGUCAUAUAUGGGGCUUGGCAAAAGGUUAAUUCUCAUCUUAUUUCCACAGCAGCCUUCACUGUCUUUUUAUCUAGCCAUCCUACAGGAUGCAAAUUUGCUCUGCCCUACUUGAAAAACAUCCACAAAUAAUUAUUGGCCACUGCAUCCUGGACAUCUGCACUGAAUCUUGACAGAGACAACAUAAUCAUAAUUUUUAAUGGCAGCUGGGUAAGCCCCAUAUGAUGCCUUCUCCUUGUGAUUUUUCUAGCAGCAAAUAUCAGAGCUGAAGUGAUCAGUUCAUGGUAAAACACAAACCUUUGCUUCACGAUGAAAGCAAAGCCUUGCUGUGUAUAACCUCUUUGUCUCUCUGCUCACUUGAGAGCAGAGAGAGAUAAUUUAUGUCUGUCUGCAACAUCUUUUGUGAACUGAGCACUUGAACUAAGCCUCAAGAGACUAAAUAGGGAGCUGUUUCUACCUCUUCUUAUCUGCUCUUGUGAAGGAAGAACUUAUUUUGGGAUGUAGUAAGACGCUUUGGCUCACUCCUGGUUUAGGUAGGCAAUCAAUGGGCAGGAAGACUGUACACAAAUUCCUUGUAAAAUUUGUAUGUGUCUUGGGUGAAUUUAAGAAUAGACUUAACAUUUACUUCAAAUCCUCAUUGCAAAUUCACAGGAGGGCUGAGGCUGGAAGGGACCUGGGUCAUCUGGCCCAGCUUCCCUACUCAAGCAGAGCCAGUUGCGCAGGACCACGUCCAGAAGGCUUCCAAGCAUCUCCAGUAACGAGGGCUCCACAACCUCUCUUGGCAACCUGUGCCAGUGCUUGGUCACCCUCACAGGACCAAAGUGUUCCCUGCUGCUCAGAAGGAAUCUCUUGUGUCUCAGUUUGUGCAUGUGGCCUCCUCUCCUUGACUGGGCACCACAGGAAACACCCUGGCUCCACCUCCUUUGUGUCCUCACUGCAGGCUGCUCACACUCUCCUGAGGAAGGGACACGCACAAGGGAAGAAAAACAGUGAAUUCAAGAGCAUGGAGCUGCUGGAAAACAAGGAACCCUCCCCUGUGAUAACAAUCCUGUGAGUGAAGCUUCAUCACCAGUGUUAGGCACAGCUAUUGCAGCACAGGGCUGUCAACUCUCAUUAUUUAGGAACUCAGCAAAUGGAUUGCAUUACUUCUUCAAACAGUCUUCUGAAAUCAGGCUGUGGAACAGAACAAGAGGCACCAGUGCAGCUAGAGACUGUCACAUGGUUUGAAUUGAAGCAAACAUCUUUCCUCCCCUUGCAGCAUCAAGGAGGGUCAGUGCUGGUGCACAACCAGGCAAUUGAAAUGCAAAAUAAACAUGCUGGGGUUUUUUUUCUUUUGAGUGGAAGUUUAGAACUGUUCAGGGUGGAAGUAAAAUAUUCAGUUAAGAAUAAGGCUCACAAAUACAAAAAUAUAAGGGAGAUUAUAGCAAGCAGUGGACAGUUUAACCUGUUUUUUGGGUUUCCACUGUGUCAUGGUAGUCUGUGGAAAGUUUGAAGUUUGUGAAAAUUCCAGUAAUAUAAUCAAGUCUGUUUAAUGGAAAUUCCUGUCCUUUUGUACAGCAUUUGUAGUAAAUUACCAGACUGGAGUACCCACACAUUGGAAUAUUUAAUUCUUAUGAUGCUCUACUACCAUUAUGGGCCUUUCAAUAUUUCAUCAAUGACUUGCCACUUAUAAAAUGAAGCAGCAGUAGGACAGAAUUCUUUUUGGACGUAAGAGGGCAAUGGCUACAUAAAUCCAUAAUUCAGCAUAUAGAGCUAAAUUACAAAUGAAUAAAAUAAUUUCUUUUCACAACCUAAUUUUUGUUAAAUGUGUGCUAAACAGCACUGUCCCUAAAAUAUGCUCUGUGUGACACAAAUACAAGACUGUUUAUAACUCGUUUAUAAAACCUGUAGAUAUUUUGCUUCUGUGGGACUUCUACGGUCAGUAGCACUUACCUCUACUGUUUGCUUUUGGUCUUCUGCUUAGGGAUUGUGUAGAGCCUAAAACAUUUUAAAAUAAAGUUUCAUGGAAAGCA
Long non-coding RNA from Taeniopygia guttata (zebra finch), 3343 nucleotides. RefSeq lists it as uncharacterized. Lineage: Eukaryota; Metazoa; Chordata; Aves; Passeriformes; Estrildidae. The record is from RefSeq and is a predicted model, not a curated record.